Molecule: long non-coding RNA, 5606 nt
Filed under: Capsicum annuum
Lineage: Eukaryota; Viridiplantae; Streptophyta; Magnoliopsida; Solanales; Solanaceae
Description: long non-coding RNA (CANN_LNC015334)
Source: RNAcentral
ACCUCAAUAAAAUAGGGAAUAAAUGUUAAUCAAUAAAAUCAUCCGAAAUCAAACAAGGUAAAGAAGAUGAUAACCGAACCAGAGAGAGAAACAGUGAAGUUGAAAAUGUGGAAAAUAUCUUCUUGUCUUUGUUCUAGAGUCUUCUGCAGUAUUUAUAUUUACAAAACAAUAUUACAAGUAAAUGAGAAGUAAUAAAUGUGUAUGAAAACUAUUUGGGCCAAGUCUUAUUAUUAGUUGGGUCGUCCGAAUAAGCAACAUUAUUGUGUGGCCCGGAUAUCCUAACACCCCCAUCAAGCUGGAGGGUGUGAAGACUCCAAGCAUGGGAAGGCAGCAGCGGUGAGCAGGUCCAGGCAGAGAUUUGGUUAAAAUAUCUGCUAACUGAUUUGCACUGACAACAUAGUGAAAAGAAAUUAGGUUAGAAUGAAGGCAGUCACGAACGUAAUGACAAUCAAUUUCAAUAUGCUUCAUGCGUUCAUGAAAAACAGGAUUCUUCAUGAUACUCAAAGCAGCUUGACUAUCGCAAUAUAUAGGAACAAGAUCAGAGACAAUAACACCAAAAUCACAUAGUAGGCGAAUAAGCCAAAUAACCUCAGCGACAAUCUUACGAAGAGCCUGAUACUCAGCCUCAGUAGAUGAGAGUGAAAUGGUAGGCUACUUCUUACUUUUUCAAGAAAUAGGACUACCACCCAGAGUGAUAAAGAAACCAGUAACAAAGCGACGAGUGUCACGACAGGUAGCCCAAUCAGAAUCAGAAUAUCCCAUCAAUGAAAAAUCAGAAGCAUUGGAUAACAAAAUACCCUGUGUCGGAUUGUUCAUGAGAUAACGUAACACAUGAAUGGUAGCUAACAUAUGAGGAACCUAUGGAUGUUGUAAAAAUUGACUUAAGUGUUGGACAGAAAAGAAUAUGUCAGGCCCUGUAUGUUGUAAGAAAUUGAGUUUGCCAACCAAAUGCCUAUAGGAGCUGGGAUCAGUCAAAGAAAAACCCAUGUCUGUAACAAGUUUGCUGGAACAGUCCAAAGGAGUACUCACAGGAGAAAACUGAUAACAAUUAUAUUCAUGAAGUAAGUCAAGAGUAAACUUAUGUUGACUGACAAUAUAACCCUGUGCAUAUUUGAAGACUUUCAAGCCAAGGAAGUAAUGGAUAGCACCAAGAUCCUUGAUUUUAAAUUGACCAUCAAGAAAAAUCUUUAAAUAUUCUAAUCCAGCUAAAUCAUCCGAAUCCAACAAUAUAUCAUCAACAUAAAUAGCCAAUACAAUCUGCGAACUGGAAGGACUUUUUGUAAAUAAUGAAUAAUUAUUCUUACUAGAGGUAUAGCCAUGAGAAAUAAGAUCUGUGGACAGUUUAAAAAACCAUUGACGAGAUGCUUGACGAAGACCAUAAAGAGAUUUCUUAAGGAGGCAUACCAAAGGGACAUCAGAAGAAGAAGUAACUUCAAGACCAAGAGGUAAUUUCAUAUAAACCUCCUCAAGAAGAUCACCAUGAAGAAAAGUAUUAUUAACAUCUAACUGAAACAAUGUCCAUACCUUCUUAGAAGCAAUAGUAAGGAGACAUUUAAUAGUAGUUAGCUUAACUACAGGGGAAAAAGUUUAGUAAAAUCGACUCCCUCCUUUUGAGUAUCACCACGAAUAACCAAAUGAGCUUUAUAUCGCUCAAUGGAUCCAUCAAAUCACUGUUUGAUCUUGUAAACCCAUUUGCAAGAAAUGACUUUCUUAUGAGGAGGGAGUGGGACUAUGUCCCAAGUAUUAUUAGCCUUUAGGGCCUGAAACUCCUUGACCAUAGCUUCCUGCCAAUCCAGAUGGCUAGCAGUCUGAUGGUAAAAUUGUGGUUCAUGAUUGUGAAGCUCAACAUGUGAGAUCUUGAAUGUAGUAGAUUCAAGGAAUGCAUGAUGGGAAGAUGAACAAACAUAAUCUUUAAGAUAAAAAGGUUUAUGACUCUGUCGAGUAGAAUGUCUAGAAGUUAAAAUAUGGGAAGCAACGAUGGGUGAAGUAGAGACAGAAGAAGGAGGAGGAACAGCUAAAAGAGCAGAAUUAGGAGCAAAAACUAGAGAAAAAGGCACUGAAUUAGUAGAACUGGGAGAAAUAAAAGAAUGGGGAGUUGAUGGGGAGUCUUCAGAGAAGGUAGAAUAAGAAAGUGGAAAUAAAAAAGGGGUAGAGGAAGGGUAAGAUAAGAUGUGUUUAUGGAAUACUAUAUCCCGAGAAUAGAAAAUCAAAUCAGUGGACAAAUUCAAUAGUUUGUAACCUUUCUUGCCAAACGGAUACCCCAAAAAUAUAGAAGAAAUUUCCCUUGAUUGAAACUUGUUUCAACUAAUUUUAGGUGAGGUAGCAAAGCACAAACAACGAAAUGAUCUCAAAUGGUCAUAAGAAGGAGGGGACUGAUGUAAUUUCUCAAAAAGUGAUAUAUUAUGUAGUAAAGGAGAAAGAAAUCUGUUAAUCAAGUAUGUGACUGUUAAGACACAGUCACCCCAAUACUUCAAGGGUAACUUAGAUUGAAAAAGUAAGGAUCUUGAAGUUUCAAGAAGAUGCUUAUAUUUUCUUUCCACUACACCAUUUUGUUGAGGCAUAUGCGGAAUGGAAGUUUGAUGCAAUAUACCAUUUUUAGCCAAGUAUUUAGAUGCUUCAUGACUGCCCCCCAACUCAAAAGCAUUAUCGAACUUAAGAAUUUGGAUGUGUGUUUUAAAAUAGAUCUUAACCAUGAAAAUAAAUGCCUUUAAAAUGGAGAAAGUAUUAGCCUUGGAAGAUAGAAGAUGGGUCCAAGUGGCUCUAGUAUAAUCGUCCACUAAGGUAAUAAAAUAUCUAUAAUCAUUGUAAGUGGCAGUAUUAUAGGAGCCCCAAGUGUCAACAUGAACCAAUUAAAAUGGUUUAGUAGAAUAAAUGGAGCUAUCUGGGAAGGACAGUCUUUCUUACCUAGCCAUAGGAAAUAUGGUGCACAAGAAAGAUUAUUUGGAAGACAAUUUACUAGAUAAAUGUGGGAUGGAGUGCAUUCUAUGAAACGACAUGUGGCCAAGUAUUUGAUGCCAAAACAAAUCAUUUUUAUUAAUAGAAGAUGGCAAAUUACAAGGGGUAAUAGAAAAAACAGUAUCAAAAUUAGAAGUAUUACAAGUAAAGGAACUAGCAGAAUUAGGUAAAGGUACAGUAAUAGACUCAGAUGGAAAAAUAUUAGCAGGAGCAGAUGUAGUAACAGAAAUAGUAGGCGGGAGUGAUGAUGUUUCAGCGGAGGGAUCUAGAGAUGUAUUUGGGGAGGAUAAGUUCUCUUGGCUGAGGAAAUAUAAACCUCUUGCAGCUUUACCAAAUUCCAAUGGCCUCUUCAGAGAAGGGGCCUGUAAGAAAUAAUUUAUUUUGGUAAAGAUUAUAUAACAGUCAAAUUGAUCAAUGAGUUGAAAGAUGGAAAUUAAAUUGAAUUGAAAUGAAGGAAUAAGUAACACAUUAUGUAGAAUCAUAUCAGACCUAAGAAAUAAAGAACCAGUGGAGAUAACCCUAACUUGUAUCCAUUGGGAAGAGUAAUAAGAAAAGAAAUGGGAAUUGGUUGAAGAUUAUGUAGUAAAUGUUUGUGAGGAGUCAUGUGGUUAGUUUCUCCAGAAUCUAAAAUCCAAGAAUGCAUACCUAAUUAGGAACUCGCACACAUAUGAAAACCAACAGAAUUUUCCACAGGGCUACUAAAAACACUAUUAAUACAUACCUGCAAAAUUUGCAAAACCAAAAAAUUUUACAUCUGGUUGUUCAGACAAGUGAUUAUGUUCGAAUGAAGCUAUCAGUUGUGGAUAAGUAUCACUGUGAGACCCAUAAGAAGGAAGAAUAUGGGAGGAAGAGUUGUUCUUUGUAGAAUUAGAAGAAGACAGAUCAGUUUGCACACAUGCUGCAGAUUUCGUACCUUUGUUGAACUGAUAAUCUGCAGGGUAACUAUGUAGUUUGUGACAUUUGCUCAUGAUAUGUCCUAAGUUUUUGCAAUAUCUACAAAUCAAGGUAUUGGUGGGUGGCUGCUUGGACUCAAAAUUAAUCCUUUGGGGAUAAGUCCUACCACCUCCAUGAGACAUAGGGAGAAAAUGCCCGGGAGGUGAAUAUGAAGGCCCAGAAGAAUCAUAAUAAAUCCCUUUCUGAGAAUAAGGCCUUUCUUAAAACUCAAAAUAGACCCUGAAAGAGUAAUAUUUACCAACAUUUUGAGAAGUUCCCUGAGAUUCUCUUAAAGUUGUCAUUAUAUCUAGAUGAGGCAUAGAAGAACAUGGAUUCAGUGAUUAGAUUAGAAGGAAUGGAAUUUUGCUUUUGCUUUUCAUCAUGAUGAACCAUGGAAUAAGCCUUACUAAGGCUGGGAAGUAGAUUCAUCAUGAGAAUGUUACUUUUGCAAGUAGAGUAGGGUUCAUUUAAUCCACUAAGAAACUGGAACAAUUUUUGUUCCUCAAGAAAUUUGGGUAAAGCACCACAGGUGCAAGUGGGACCUACAUAUGUUGUGUUUAGCUCAUCCCAAAGUCCCCUAAGUUAUGUAAAAUACGUAGCUAUAUCUGAAGAACCCUGAGUGGUGGAAACUAGUUCACGUUGAAUUUGAAUAUAUUUGGACCCAUUAGAUUGUCCAAAUCGUUCAUUUAGAUCCUCCCAAAUCUCUUGUGCAGUAUUAAAAUCAAUAACACUCAUAGCAACAUUCCUAGAUAAUGAGUUAGUUAUCCAAGCUAUAACCAUAUCAUUACAUCUUUCCCAAUAUUGAUAGUAAGGAGACUCAGGUACAGGCCUAGGAUUUCUACCAGUGAUAAGGCCUAGUUUAUUCUUAGCUGAAAGUGAAAUCAACAUACUUUUCCGCCAGCUAACAAAAUCAGUUCCAUCAAAUGGUGAAACAGUAAGUUGGAUACCAGGACUGUCAGCUAAAUGUAUAUAAAACGGAUGACAUUGAUAAAUAGUGAAGGGAGUAAACCCUUCAGUAGAGGUAGGAGCAUUAUGAACAAAAAUAGACGAAUUGCCACUCAUAAUUCCAUAAGGAAUUCAAUAAAUCAGUAGAUUUGAGACCUAUGUUAGCGAAGGAAAGGUGUUACCGUUCUUCUUCCAAAACCUGAAGAAGACUAGGUCUUGCUCAACAAUGGGAUCCGUCAAAUUCCCCUCGAGAACGACACGAAUCGCAAGAAUAUUAAUUCGCCGCAACAAAUACAACAAGUGUAUGUCAAAUUCCCCUCGAGAGCGGCACAAAUCACACUAUUACUGGUUCUCCGCAAAAAAUACAACCACCACAACAACAUAAAGAAAAUAGUCCAACUAAUCCAUCAUUGUAUACAACCGCCAAAAGAAACUCUAGCGAAGUGAAAUUCCAGCGAUGUGAAAUGAAAAUUUCAACUCAAAUCCUCAAAAAAAUCAAUGAUAGAGGAGAGGAAAUGAUUGGAGGGUAAUACCGAUCGAAAGAGAAGAUGAAAUCGAGUUAAACACCUACUUUGAUACCAUGUUAAUCAAUAAAAUCAUCCGAAAUCGAACAAGAUAAAGAAGAUGAUAACCGAACUAGAGAGAGAAACAACGAAAUUGAAAAUGUGGAAAAUAUCUUCUUGUCUUUGUUCUAGAGUCUUCUGCAAUAUUUAUAUUUACAACAACAAUAUUACAAGCAAAUGAGAAGUAAUAAAUGUGUGUGAAAACUAUUU